Molecule: ribosomal RNA, 85 nt
Filed under: uncultured fungus
Lineage: Eukaryota; Fungi
Description: partial 5.8S ribosomal RNA
Rfam family: 5.8S ribosomal RNA
About the family: 5.8S ribosomal RNA (5.8S rRNA) is a component of the large subunit of the eukaryotic ribosome. It is transcribed by RNA polymerase I as part of the 45S precursor that also contains 18S and 28S rRNA. Functionally, it is thought that 5.8S rRNA may be involved in ribosome translocation.
Source: RNAcentral
UUGCAAAAUUCAGUGAAUCAUCGAAUCUUCGAACGCACCUUGCGCCCCCUGGUAUUCCGGGGAGCACACCUGUUCGAGUGUCUUG